AACGCGAAGAACCUUACCUGGGCUCGAACGGCUAGUCAACGAUCGUGGAAACAUGGUUACUCCGCAAGGGGGUCUAGUCGAGGUGCUGCAUGGCUGUCGUCAGCUCGUGUCGUGAGAUGUUGGGUUAAGUCCCGCAACGAGCGCAACCCUUGUCCUGUGUUGCCAUGACCGAAAGGCGGAACUCGCAGGAGACCGCCAGCGAUAAGCUGGAGGAAGGUGGGGAUGACGUCAAGUCCUCAUGGCCUUUAUGUCCAGGGCUACACACGUGCUACAAUGGCCGGUACAAAGCGCUGCUAAGUCGCAAGACGGAGCCAAUCUCAAAAAACCGUUCUCAGUUCGGAUUGCAGUCUGCAACUCGACUGCAUGAAGCUGGAAUCGCUAGUAAUCGCUGAUCAGCAAGCAGCGGUGAAUACGUUCCCGGGCCUUGUACACACCGGAGUA
RNAcentral lists this ribosomal RNA (441 nucleotides) under uncultured bacterium. Its description in RNAcentral is "bacterial SSU rRNA". It matches the Rfam family "Bacterial small subunit ribosomal RNA", at positions 958 to 1398 of the family's 1533-position model. The record is from RNAcentral.